Molecule: non-coding RNA, 421 nt
Organism: Equus caballus (horse)
Lineage: Eukaryota; Metazoa; Chordata; Mammalia; Perissodactyla; Equidae
Source: RefSeq, a predicted model, not a curated record
CUCACUGGCAAGGGGUAGGGGCGUGAGAAAAGCUUUUACGGGGUCUUCUUCCGCGCUUUUUUUCUAGUGCGCUCUUUCCUUUUGCUGUGAUUCAGGGCUGAGGACAGCUGCCCCCUUCUCUGCCCCGAACCUGAUCGAGGAGGUCGUCACCUCUUCCUCCGCUGCUGUCGUCGCCACCUCAUCCUUUCUUUGAAUGGGGCCAACUGUUUGCUGAAGUGUGAUGUGUGAAGAUGUCAGAGGAAAUGAGCUUAAGCGUCUCAGGAGCUUCAAUUCAGGAGCGUAUAUGCCCAAGCCUGUGGGAAUAUGGAGGACAAACAGGGCAAACAGCAGAAGAGAAACUGUGUGAAUGUAUGUACACCUCUUUUGUCCAUCACAGAAGUGAAUAGAUACAUCUGUACAAAUAAAUGGAAAUUGAGCUCAA